Molecule: non-coding RNA, 264 nt
Organism: Biomphalaria pfeifferi
Lineage: Eukaryota; Metazoa; Mollusca; Gastropoda; Planorbidae
Source: the annotation of a GenBank genome assembly
GCAAUGUUACUUGAUUUAUUUGUUUACUGUAAAAAAAAAAAAAAAAAGUAGACAAGGUGUAAAAUAUGUAUCAAACAUAUUUAUUGGACACUUGAAAAACUUUGCACACAUUCAAAGUGUGCCAGUUUUAAGGCAAAGUGGUUUCACAAUAAGCAUUCAAAUAGAAUGCCAGUUUUUUUUUUUUCUUUCAUAAACCAUAAACUUAUGGAAACAAAAACAAAAUGAAAGUUAAAAAAUGUUAAUUUUCAAACACGAAAAAACAUU